UCUCCGUAGGUGAACCUGCGGAGGGAUCAUUAACACGUGCCACCAUACACGUAUACCAAACAAGCUGUGAACGUUCAACAUACCUCCCUUGGUAGAAGUGAUCGAGUGAUACUCAUCUGGGUGGAGUAGAGAAUUCUUGUUCUUUACUAUGACUCGCUCUAGGAAUUCUUUGAAAUUCCAAUCCGCUAUCAAGUGUAUGUGCCGCCACCUGGCAGUCUGCGAUCUCGCUGGGUUUUGCAUGCUUUCUACGCUUUUCGGAGUGUAGAACUGCAAUACUCUAGCGAUGAAAGCAGCGUUCUGCCGAAUUGUAUUAACCCAUUUUUUAAACCCCUUUAACAACAUACUAACAACUGAACCAUAUGCUUUUUUUCAUUCGGCGGAAAAGAUGGUUGCAAAAACCACCUUGAAAACCGACAUCGAAAAAACAUAUUGAUAUUACGUCAUGCUGAACAACUCUUAGCAAUGGAUAUCUUGGUUCUC
RNAcentral lists this unclassified non-coding RNA (480 nucleotides) under plant metagenome. RNAcentral's name for it is "partial contains small subunit ribosomal RNA, internal transcribed spacer 1, and 5.8S ribosomal RNA". The record is from RNAcentral.